This 2709-nucleotide unclassified non-coding RNA is filed under the name Hevea brasiliensis (rubber tree). Lineage: Eukaryota; Viridiplantae; Streptophyta; Magnoliopsida; Malpighiales; Euphorbiaceae. The record is from RNAcentral.
AUUGAUCCCUAUAUAUAUCGCGCAAAAUAAUCAUCACUGUCGAGUUUUGCCGAAGCCUGUGCCUUUGAAGAGUAAGCGCUGGCAGGAUAGACCAAUUUUAUCAUCUUCUUCUUGAUAAUCCAAACAAGUAAGCCAACAUAUGAAUAUAUAAAUUCGCAUACCUUGUUCAAGCCAUCCAAUUACACUUCAUUAAUUCUCUUCACAUGCGUGCAGGUUUAACAUUUUUUUUUUAAUUAUUCUCAUAUACUGACAAUUAUCUGCACUCUAUACUUCCACGCAUCGGCCUUCAAUCAUGACAAUAUAGACAUGCCAUGCAAAUCUCCAUUCAUGCCAUACGCAUCAAGUCUCCAUUCACUGUUCCUUUUCCGUUUUCAUCAUUUUUUUUUUCGUUCCACUUAUUUUAUUUAUCCAUCUCAUGCUUAUUUCAUGCACUUCUAAUCUGCUAUUUUUUUAUAUAUUUUUUUAAGCUCCUCAACAAUUGCGAUUCUCUCAACUUCAAGCUUCAAAUUUUUAUACCUCUUCAAAAUUUGGAUAUUUACUGCCUCUCUUCUAUCACAAUGGUCGUCUUCUAGGAGUAUUCUACCUCACCUACUAAUUCCAACAUCAUUAUUUUGAAUAAUGAGAAUGAAGAUUUGCAAGAAGAUAAUACCCUUAAUGUCUACAUGGCUACUAUUGGUUCUUUUGCUGCUACAUGGCCUACCUCUUAUGGUUACCUCAUCUACCAUGUUGGAGUUUGGAAACAUCAUGUGAGAUCUUUGACUAAAAUCUUUCUACCAUAGUGACUUCCAAGGGUAUCUUUACUACAAUUUUCAUUGCAUUUUGAUGAACUUUUUGCUGAUGAUGUACUACUAUUAUGACAUCGUAUCUGUGAGGGAAAAGUCUCAUGGGAGUUAUUUUCUACCCUUUUAGGAGAGUCUUGCUACAUAGAAGGCUAUUGGGAAUGGGUUGAAUAUGUGUUAGCAAGCAAUGAGCAAUUUCUGAAAGACUAACGACUCUACAAUGCCAUCUAUGCUUCACUCUUCACUUAUGAUUGUCAUCCAAGUGUGCUGCAAGACUUUUGUAAGUAUUGGAAUCCUUCAACAAAUACCCUUCGCACAAUUAGUGGGGAAGAGUCCAUAUCACUUUGGAACUUAAAGGUGCUGGGUGGUCUUCCUAUUUAUGGCUCUUUUUAUGAUGAGGUCAUCCCUUCAGCUGAAGAAUUGACAGGUUUUGAUCAAAGUCGUAAGCCAUAUCUAGUUUACAGUUGUAAAUAUUUAUUUCUUGCCUUCCACAACAACUGUCACAAGGUUGGUGAUUACUAUGAGAUGAAAAUCACAGAUUGGAUAAAGUUCUGGUUUUGUGGGGUCCAAAGAUAUGUAGAACCUCCUAAGCUAAAUGGCCAGAAAAGGGUGAGUUGCCCUAGAAGAACCUUCAACCCUUCAGGAAUCAUUGAUAAGAGGUCUCUUUGUACUGAGGGGUGGAGCAAGCCACUUUUUGAACUUCGGGUUAGUGUGGAAGCUCGAGAGGAAGUUUGUCGAACCACUUUCCUUGCUUGUUGGCUAUGUAAGUUUAUACUUCUUGGUAAGGAUGCUGACCUUAUUCGCCCUAGCACUUUCAAGGUAACAAGCAUGAUGGCGACAGAUAGGUGUUUCAAUUUAGCAGUUCCAGUGUUAGCAAGCAUCUAUAAUGGCUUGAGGGAGAUUUCUACCUCUUCUGACUUGAGUACUUGUGUUGCUACUUUCCCUGUUCAUUAGGUUUAUGGAUGGCUUGCUAAUAAUUUUGGGACCCAUUACACUUCUAAAUGGGAUUCCUAUCCCAAGUUGACAAUCUAUACAGGCGAAAGAAUGGCAAGAUACUUUGCAAAUCCAGAUGCUUAUAAUCUUCUUAAGAAUGUUCACAAAUGAAUUGGACCCUCAUUGCCCUCUCUUGAUAGAGGGUUGACUUUGCUUGAUAACAAGGAUUUAUCCUUUACUCGUGGUGAGUACAUUGUGAGCCUCAGAUCGAGCUAAAUGCCUUUGCACUGCAAUGACACCUAUCUGUGUGAGUUGUAUUGUCCACAUCAGUUUAGUAGACAAUUUGGCUUUUGUCAAGAUAUUCCUGGUGAGUUGAAGAGAAACUUUGAGAGUUUAGCCUUGUAGGAUGUAAUUCAACUUUGGUAGUCAUGUACCAAACUUUGUACUUUCGCCAGAGUCGAAUUGCCUGUGCCAUCAUUUAUGGGAGUUGCUUCUAUCACCAAAGAGUACUUGAAUUGGUAGUCCACAAAAUGGUCUAAAGCUUUUCCAGAAGAUCCUAAGAUUACCCUUAAGCUGGUUCGUUUGGGUCAACAGGGGUCUUCUAAGGCCAUAACUAAUACUCCUCAAGUUGACAAUUCUAAGGUGAGCAAAAACUCCAGUUGUGGAGCUAAGAGGGAUGUAGCUUCAAAAGAACAUGUACUACCAUCAAAUCCCAAGAGGAAACUUCUCUUAAGGUUCCCUAGAGCUGUGGAAGAAGUCGUAGUGUCACUUUCACUUAAGCUUACAAAAGAAACUAUGCACACUCCACAAGUUGAAGGGACGUAAAGGCAGAUUGACCCAGCACUUAGUGUUGUAGAUUUGGAGAGUGACCAGGAGGCUGACUCCGAUCAUCAUUGGAAACAACCUUCAAAGAAGUCCAAACUAAUAAUUCAUUGUAAUUCCCAUACUCUUCAAGGUGUCCCUAGUGCUUCAAUGAUUCACACUAAAUGACUUAGUA